RNAcentral lists this ribosomal RNA (252 nucleotides) under uncultured bacterium. RNAcentral's name for it is "partial 16S ribosomal RNA". It matches the Rfam family "Bacterial small subunit ribosomal RNA", at positions 524 to 776 of the family's 1533-position model. The record is from RNAcentral.
UACGGGGGGGCAAGCGUUGUUCGGAAUUACUGGGCGUAAAGGGCUCGUAGGUGGCCAACUAAGUCAGACGUGAAAUCCCUCGGCUUAACCGGGGAACUGCGUCUGAUACUGGAUGGCUGGAGUAUGGGAGAGGGAUGCGGAAUUCCAGGUGUAGCGGUGAAAUGCGUAGAUAUCUGGAGGAACACCGGUGGCGAAGGCGGCAUCCUGGACCAUUACUGACACUGAGGAGCGAAAGCCAGGGGAGCAAACGGG